Molecule: long non-coding RNA, 812 nt
Filed under: Homo sapiens (human)
Lineage: Eukaryota; Metazoa; Chordata; Mammalia; Primates; Hominidae
Description: HSALNT0055870
Source: RNAcentral
AAAUAAGCCAAGAGUUGAAAGAGGCAGGACUAAUUACCAACAUUCCUUGAUGAAUUACUUAGCGGCGUGUGCUAAGUCAAUGUACGUCUACGGCUUGAUCCCCAAUUUUAUCCCGUACUUAUUUCCCAGGAGGUAAAAAGAACAUGUGGCUAAUUAAGGCACCGAUCUCCACAGCCAGAAGUACUCAAGGUCAACGGUUCAAAACCUUAGCACCUGGAACAGAAGAAAAGGAACAUUUGAGAAAAUAUUCACUCUUGAGAAAGUCAUGCUUCGAGGGGUGUUGUGGAUUGAAACAGGAGAGUGCAUCACCAUCAUCUUCAUCUACAACAUCAGUUUCUUUCUUCUUCCAAGCAGGAGUCAAGGUAUUAUAAUAUUUUAAAGCAACAUGCAAUUCAGCUGUAGAAGUGGCCUCCAUGGACCACCUUGGCUAAGCUCACAGCCGCUGAGAUGAACCCACCCUUCCCUUGAUUCCAUCUCAUUAGGAGAUCCCAGGACAUCAGCAGUUCCAUGGACCAUCUAAAUCCAUUCUGGUCCAAGGAGGAGCCAGAAGAAGGGACUGAGAUAAAGAAGACAGGGAUAUUCUGCCAUCUAGAUUUUAUAGUCUAUUCAUAUAAAUUAAAUGUUUGUAUUCCAAAGAGUGAGCAGAAGGUAGAGAGACACUGUUUCUUGCAGACAACGAUGCCAUUGUGGAAGGUGGUAUGGAAGUCACUGGUGUGCAAAACCUCCAAUUUGUAUAAGAUGUGGUAAGGAUCCAGGGCAGUGGUUUCAACCUGUGGGAAGCAAACUUCUGAGAGGUCUGCUAUUUAAUAAAU